Molecule: ribosomal RNA, 500 nt
Filed under: Staphylococcus sp.
Lineage: Bacteria; Bacillati; Bacillota; Bacilli; Caryophanales; Staphylococcaceae
Description: bacterial SSU rRNA
Rfam family: Bacterial small subunit ribosomal RNA
Source: RNAcentral
AUACGUAGCCGACCUGAGAGGGUGAUCGGCCACACUGGAACUGAGACACGGUCCAGACUCCUACGGGAGGCAGCAGUAGGGAAUCUUCCGCAAUGGGCGAAAGCCUGACGGAGCAACGCCGCGUGAGUGAUGAAGGGUUUCGGCUCGUAAAACUCUGUUAUUAGGGAAGAACAAAUGUGUAAGUAACUGUGCACAUCUUGACGGUACCUAAUCAGAAAGCCACGGCUAACUACGUGCCAGCAGCCGCGGUAAUACGUAGGUGGCAAGCGUUAUCCGGAAUUAUUGGGCGUAAAGCGCGCGUAGGCGGUUUCUUAAGUCUGAUGUGAAAGCCCACGGCUCAACCGUGGAGGGUCAUUGGAAACUGGGAAACUUGAGUGCAGAAGAGGAAAGUGGAAUUCCAUGUGUAGCGGUGAAAUGCGCAGAGAUAUGGAGGAACACCAGUGGCGAAGGCGACUUUCUGGUCUGUAACUGACGCUGAUGUGCGAAAGCGUGGGGAUCAA